This 378-nucleotide unclassified non-coding RNA is filed under the name plant metagenome. RNAcentral's name for it is "partial contains 5.8S ribosomal RNA, internal transcribed spacer 2, and large subunit ribosomal RNA". The stretch from base 1 to 105 matches the Rfam family "5.8S ribosomal RNA", at positions 50 to 154 of the family's 154-position model. The record is from RNAcentral.
GAAAUGCGAUAAGUAAUGUGAAUUGCAGAAUUCAGUGAAUCAUCGAAUCUUUGAACGCACCCUGCGCUCCUUGGUAUUCCUUGGAGCAUGCCUGUUUGAGUAUCAUGAAAUCUUCAAAGUAAAUCUUUUGUUAACUCAAUUGGUUUCUACUUUGGUAUUGGAGGUCUUUGCAGCUUCACACCUGCUCCUCUUUGUUCAUUAGCUGGAUCUCAGUGUUAUGCUUGGUUCCACUCGGCGUGAUAAGUUAUCUAUCGCUGAGGACACUGUAAAAGGUGGCCAAGGUAAAUGCAGAUGAACCGCUUCUAAUAGUCCAUUGACUUGGACAAUACUUUUAUGAUCUGAUCUCAAAUCAGGUAGGAAUACCCGCUGAACUUAAGC